GACGAACGCUGGCGGCGUGCCUAAUACAUGCAAGUCGAGCGAAGUUUUUCUGGUUCUUGCACUAGAAAAACUUAGCGGCGAACGGGUGAGUAACACGUAAAGAACCUGCCUCAUUGACAUAGACACCGAUUGGAAACGAUAACUAAUACCGGAUGACCGUAUUGCUCGCAUGGGGGAUGUUAAAAAGUUGGUUAUGCUAACACUAUGAGAUGGCUUUGCGGUGCAUUAGGUAGUUGGUGGGGUAAAGGCCCACCAAGGGGGCGAUGCGUGGCCGAACUGAGAGGGUGAUCGGCCACACGGGGACUGAGACACGGCCCAGACUCCUACGGGAGGCAGCAGUAGGGAAUCUGACGCAAUGGGCGAAAGCCUGACGGAGCAACGCCGAGUGAGUGAAGAAGGAUUUCGGUUCGUAAAGCUCUGUUGUUAGGGAAGAAUGGAUUUGUAGUAACUAUACGUGUAAGAGACGGUACCUAACAAGAAAGCAACGGCUAACUACGUG
This 499-nucleotide ribosomal RNA is filed under the name uncultured bacterium. RNAcentral describes it as "partial 16S ribosomal RNA". It matches the Rfam family "Bacterial small subunit ribosomal RNA", at positions 28 to 507 of the family's 1533-position model. The record is from RNAcentral.